GCUGGGUGUGGUGGCGUAUGCCUGUAAUCCCACUGGCUUGGGAGGCUGAGGUAGGAGGAAGUUGAAUUCAAAGCCAGCCUCAGCAAGUUAGCAAGGCCCUAAGCAACUCAGUGAGACCCUGUCUCUA
RNAcentral lists this small RNA (127 nucleotides) under Marmota monax (woodchuck). The record is from RNAcentral. Lineage: Eukaryota; Metazoa; Chordata; Mammalia; Rodentia; Sciuridae.